UACGGGGGGGGCAAGCGUUGUUCGGAGUUACUGGGCGUAAAGGGCUCGUAGGUGGCCAACUAAGUCAGACGUGAAAUCCCUCGGCUUAACCGGGGAACUGCGUCUGAUACUGGAUGGCUUGAGUUUGGGAGAGGGACGCGGAAUUCCAGGUGUAGCGGUGAAAUGCGUAGAUAUCUGAAGGAACAUCAGUGGCGAAAGCGACUUCCUGGACCAAUACUGACGCUCAUGUGCGAAAGCGUGGGGAGCAAACAGG
This 253-nucleotide ribosomal RNA is filed under the name uncultured bacterium. Its description in RNAcentral is "partial 16S ribosomal RNA". It matches the Rfam family "Bacterial small subunit ribosomal RNA", at positions 524 to 776 of the family's 1533-position model. The record is from RNAcentral.